This 253-nucleotide ribosomal RNA is filed under the name uncultured bacterium. RNAcentral's name for it is "partial 16S ribosomal RNA". It matches the Rfam family "Bacterial small subunit ribosomal RNA", at positions 524 to 776 of the family's 1533-position model. The record is from RNAcentral.
UACGUAGGGUGCGAGCGUUGUCCGGAAUUAUUGGGCGUAAAGAGCUCGUAGGCGGCCUGUUGCGUCUGCUGUGAAAGCCCGGGGCUUAACCCCGGGUCUGCAGUGGAUACGGGCAGGCUAGAGUUCGGCAGGGGAGACUGGAAUUCCUGGUGUAGCGGUGAAAUGCGCAGAUAUCAGGAGGAACACCGGUGGCGAAGGCGGAUCUCUGGGCCUUACCUGACGCUGAGGCGCGAAAGCUAGGGGAGCGAACAGG